This is a non-coding RNA of Caretta caretta (loggerhead turtle), 2592 nucleotides long. Lineage: Eukaryota; Metazoa; Chordata; Testudines; Cheloniidae. The record is from RefSeq and is a predicted model, not a curated record.
UCUCCCUGGGGCGCAGGGCGGGUCCUAGCAGGCGGGGCGGGGCUCAGCCUCAGCCUCAGCCCCAGCGCAGGGGGACGUGCGUGAUCCCUAGCCCGGCCCAGGGGUUACCGAGCGUGUGGCCAGCCUGAGUCUGCGGGCUGGGCCGGUUCCCUUCCCGUGGGGCCCGCUCGGGGGCGGGGGGGAGGCUCAACAGUCCGGGCUGCGCCGUCUGUGACAUCCAGCGCCCCCGUUAGCUCGUGCCCGCCGCUGCCGGUGUAGCGUAUUGAACUGCUCCGCGUAGGAAUGCGCCGCUGGCAGCAGAACUCAGAAUCCGCACCUGUAGAAAACUAUUCCUGCAUCUCCUGCUGAAAGGAAAAUUCACAUUACAAGACAACACAAAUCCAAGUCUCCUGUCAGUAAAUCAUGGGACAGUGUACAGCAAAUUUUAAAGAUGGUUAAGAAGUGUUUUCAAGCAACAACUGAUAUGGUAUUUGGAAGAAAAGUAUUAGGAAAAUGAAAUAUCCAAUUUGGCCAUGUUGCAAGAGAAGCAGGGGAGGAAGCCUCCAGGCCUAUAUACAUCCUCUUGCUUAAUCAACUGGGUAAACACUAGAAGCUGUUCCUACUCUCAACAGCUACAUUUUGGAAAUAAGGGGUUGUCUGUUCAUAUGAUAGUAAAGCACUGACCACGCUCUGAACUUUGUGAUAUCGUUCUGUUCUGCCUGCUGCCUGUUGAAUUGACCGCAUAUUAAAGAACACACUCCACACCAAUUCAAAAUAUGAUUUUUGUAUGUUUCAAUCAAACCUACUCACAAGAACAGAGUAAGACUGAGCGGGAGGAACAACUCUGAUAUCAUAAUCAAUAAGGCUGACAAAGGAGGUGCUGUCGUUAUCAUGAAUAAGUUGGAAUAUGAACAAGAGGCUGCUGGGCAGCUCUCUAACUCUCCUACAGGCCAUUAUCCUCUGAUCCCACUAAGGAUUACCAAAAGAAAUUACACCAUCUGCUCAAGAAACAGAUCUGUGCAGACACAUGCCUAGAACCCCGACCAGGGGCAUUCUAUCUGCUUCCCAAGAUCCAUAAACCUGGGAAUCCUGGUCGCCCCAUCAUCUCAGGCAUUGGCACCCUGACAGCAGGACUGUCUGGCUAUGCAGACUCUCUCCUCAGGCCCUACGCUACCAGCACUCCCAGCUAUCUUCGAGACACCACUGACUUUCUGAGGAAACUACAAUCCAUCGGUGAUCUUCCAGAAAACACCCUCCUGGCCACUAUGGAUGUAGAAGCCCUCUACACCAACAUUCCACACAAAGAUGGACUACAAGCCGUCAGGAACAGUAUCUCCAGUAAUGUCACAGCAGAUCUGGUGGCUGACCUUUGUGACUUUGUCCUCACCCACAAGUAUUUCAUGUUUGGGGACAACGUAUACCUUUAAGUCAGCGGCACUGCUAUGGGUACCCGCAUGGCCCCACAGUAUGGUAACAUUUUUAUGGCUGACUUAGAACAACGCUUCCUUAGCUCUCGUCCCCUAACACCCCUACUCUACUUGUGCUACAUUGAUAACAUCUUCAUCAUCUGGACCCAUGGAAAAGAAGCCCUUGAGGAACUCCACCAUGAUUUCAACAAUUUCCAUCCCAUCAUCAACCUCAGCCUGGACCAGUCCACACAAGAGAUCCACUUCCUGGACACUACAGUGCUAAUAAGCGAUGGUCACAUAAACACCACCCUAUACCGGAAACCUACUGACCGCUAUACUUACCUACAUGCCUCCAGCUUCCAUCCAGGAAACACCAUACGAUCCAUUGUCUACAGCCAAGCUCUAAGAUACAACCGCAUUUGCUCCCAUUCCUCAGACAGAGACAAACACCUACAAGAUCUCUAUCAAGCAUUCUUAAAACUACAAUACCCACCCGUUGAAGUGAAAAAACAGAACAAACAGAGCCCGAAGAGUACCCAGAAGUCACCUACUACAGGACAGGCCCAACAAAGAAAACAACAGAAUGCCACUAGCUGUCACCUUCAGCCCCCAGCUAAAACCGCUCCAGCGCAUCAUCAAAGAUUUACGACCUAUCCUGAAAAAUGAUCCCUCACUCUCACAGAUCUUGGGAGACAGACCAGUCCUCCCUUACAGACAGCCCCCCAACCUGAAGCAAAUACUCUUCAGCAACCACACACCACAUAACAAAAACACUAACCCAGGAACCUAUCCUUGCAACAAAGCCCGAUGCCAACUCUGUCCACAUAUUUAUUCAAGUGACACCAUCAUAGGACCUAAUCACAUUAGCCAUGCUAUCAGGGGCUCGUUCAUCUGCACAUCUACCAAUGUGAUAUAUGCCAUCAUUCACCAGCAAUGCCCUUCUGCCAUGUACAUUGGCCAAACCGGACAGUCUCUACGCAAAAGAAUAAAUGGACACAAAUCUGACAUCAGGAAUCAUAACAUUAAAAAACCGGUAGGAGAACAGUUCAAGCUCUCUGGCCACUCAGUAAAAGAUUUAAGGGUGGCAAUUUUGCAACAGAAAAGCUUCUAAAACAGAUGAGAAACCGCUGAAGCUUGAAUUAAUAUGCAAACUAGAUACCAUUAACUUGGGUUUGAAUAAAGACUGGGAGUGGCUGGGUCAUUA